UGCAGGAAUGAGCUGAGAAUAGGGUUUGUUAGUUGAUUGGGAGUGCUUUGGAGUUGCUGAUAAGGGAAGAAAUAGGAGUUUUGGAGAGUGUCUCACAACCUGGAGCCUAGCUGUGGCUUGGUUGGUGCUUUAGAGAGCUGGUUGGUGGGGAGAGAAUUCGGCAACCAUAGAAGGAGGCUGGGGCUGUGGAAUUUCCAUUCGGAACCAAAGGAAAGUAUUAUUAAAGUUGUGAAGGUAUACUACUUAGUAAUUUCCUUAGUUGAAUGGUUUAACGUAAAUUGAAGUAGUUCGUGGUACUUGAGCUCGCAGUAGGUAUACUCACUCUCUUGAGCUAAGUUGAUGACUUGUAAAGCUGAGUGUAAGUACUUCCAGCUGCAGCAAAGUGAAAGUCCCUGUGGAGAAUUUAAACAGAUAGUUGGAGUGCUUCCAGUUGACAUUUAGAAACUUUUGGAGGUUAAAUUUGGUGCUUUAACCUGAAUCAAAACAGGGAUUCCAGCUAGAGCAGUAUACAAGGGAAAUUCAAGUUGAGUCUUAAGUUGGGGGACUUGGAGACAUCGGAUUACUCUCGUGGAGUUCGACAAGAGUUGUCGACUAGUAGAGCCAUACACGACGGGAGAGGCUAGGGAUCGCGGCAAGGGAGUCGCGUCUAGCUAGACAUAGUGUAGAGUCCUGCUAGGUGGUCACCUCGCUACUUGAUAUGGACUGACGAGGGUGAUGUACGCCAGUGUAUAGAGAGACUACCAUUGUAUAUAGUUCUUUUGGGGGCGAUCUUUUGAUGUAUAUGUUAUCUUAGAAUGUUGUAUUUAUAGUCUUGGGUUUCUAGCUCUUGUUGAGUGUUUUGGGAGUUAUAUCUACUUUCCUUUUGUUAGUAGUACUAUUACUAUAUACUUUGCUCUGAUAUCAUGUUAGAACCUCUUAUGAUC
Molecule: long non-coding RNA, 923 nt
Organism: Ananas comosus (pineapple)
Lineage: Eukaryota; Viridiplantae; Streptophyta; Magnoliopsida; Poales; Bromeliaceae
Exons: 6
Source: RefSeq, a predicted model, not a curated record